RNAcentral lists this ribosomal RNA (569 nucleotides) under Agromyces albus. RNAcentral's name for it is "Bacterial large subunit ribosomal RNA". It matches the Rfam family "Bacterial large subunit ribosomal RNA", at positions 121 to 735 of the family's 2925-position model. Lineage: Bacteria; Bacillati; Actinomycetota; Actinomycetes; Micrococcales; Microbacteriaceae. The record is from Rfam by way of RNAcentral.
GGGAAACCCACUCCGUAAGGAGUAUCCCUGACUGAAUACAUAGGUCAGUGGAAGCGAACCGGGUGAACUGAAACAUCUCAGUAGCUCGAGGAAAAGAAAUCAACCGAGAUUCCGAAAGUAGUGGCGAGCGAAAUCGGAAGAGCCUUCACGUUUUAGCAUGCAAGAUAGUCGAACGGAAUGGAAAGUCCGGCCGUAGCAGGUGAUAGCCCUGUAGACGAAAUUUUGUGUGUGGAACUAAGCGUGAGAAAAGUAGGGCGGGACACGUGAAAUCCUGUUUGAAGAUGGGGGGACCAUCCUCCAAGGCUAAAUACUCGUGAUCGACCGAUAGUGAACCAGUACCGUGAGGGAAAGGCGAAAAGAACCCCGGAAGGGGAGUGAAAUAGAUCCUGAAACCGUAUGCAUACAAACAGUAGGAGCCUCCUUGUGGGGUGACUGCGUACCUUUUGUAUAAUGGGUCAGCGACUUACAUUCAGUGGCAAGGUUAACCGAAUAGGGAAGCCGUAGCGAAAGCGAGUCCGAAUAGGGCGAUUCAGUCGCUGGGUGUAGACCCGAAACCAGAUGAUCUAUCC